RNAcentral lists this transfer RNA (67 nucleotides) under human gut metagenome. It matches the Rfam family "tRNA". Rfam says of the family: Transfer RNA (tRNA) molecules are approximately 80 nucleotides in length. Their secondary structure includes four short double-helical elements and three loops (D, anti-codon, and T loops). The record is from RNAcentral.
GGAUAUCGCCAAGCGGUAAGGCCUCGGACUCUGACUCCGAUAUCGUAGGUUCGAAUCCUGCUAUCCC